AUGCCAUGAUGAGGACAAUCGGCACAUAACAUCUUAAAUCUAUCCCAAGCUUGAUAAAAACUUUCAUCUUUUUGUUGUCGAAAAGCAUCAAUCCUUUGUCUUCCUUU
This 107-nucleotide small nucleolar RNA is filed under the name Corchorus capsularis. RNAcentral's name for it is "Plant small nucleolar RNA R71". It matches the Rfam family "Plant small nucleolar RNA R71". From Rfam's summary of the family: R71 is a member of the C/D box family of snoRNAs containing the C (UGAUGA) and D (CUGA) box motifs. Multiple nearly identical copies of this snoRNA have been identified in Arabidopsis, and it is thought to function as a 2'-O-ribose methylation guide for 18S ribosomal RNA. Lineage: Eukaryota; Viridiplantae; Streptophyta; Magnoliopsida; Malvales; Malvaceae. The record is from Rfam by way of RNAcentral.